CCAGAGAGUUCGGGCCGGACGGCUGAAGCUCGGUUGGGACAUUUGGUGGAGCAAAAUUGCUCUCUGCCUCAGCAAUCUGAAAGAAGCUCGGAUGUUUUCGAGGUUGCUGACAGGUUAAUUGUUGUUGGGUGCCAUUGGUACUGCAGACAGAAGUCAUCUGCUGUAGAAGCUCGGACGAAAAUUACCUGUUGGAGAAGUCCG
RNAcentral lists this long non-coding RNA (201 nucleotides) under Elaeis guineensis (African oil palm). RNAcentral's name for it is "long non-coding RNA (EGUI_LNC080356)". The record is from RNAcentral. Lineage: Eukaryota; Viridiplantae; Streptophyta; Magnoliopsida; Arecales; Arecaceae.